AAAUUGAAGAGUUUGAUCAUGGCUCAGAUUGAACGCUGGCGGCAGGCCUAACACAUGCAAGUCGAGCGGUAGCACAGAGAGCUUGCUCUCGGGUGACGAGCGGCGGACGGGUGAGUAAUGUCUGGGAAACUGCCUGAUGGAGGGGGAUAACUACUGGAAACGGUAGCUAAUACCGCAUAACGUCGCAAGACCAAAGUGGGGGACCUUCGGGCCUCAUGCCAUCAGAUGUGCCCAGAUGGGAUUAGCUAGUAGGUGGGGUAAUGGCUCACCUAGGCGACGAUCCCUAGCUGGUCUGAGAGGAUGACCAGCCACACUGGAACUGAGACACGGUCCAGACUCCUACGGGAGGCAGCAGUGGGGAAUAUUGCACAAUGGGCGCAAGCCUGAUGCAGCCAUGCCGCGUGUGUGAAGAAGGCCUUCGGGUUGUAAAGCACUUUCAGCGGGGAGGAAGGCGUUAAGGUUAAUAACCUUGGCGAUUGACGUUACCCGCAGAAGAAGCACCGGCUAACUCCGUGCCAGCAGCCGCGGUAAUACGGAGGGUGCAAGCGUUAAUCGGAAUUACUGGGCGUAAAGCGCACGCAGGCGGUCUGUCAAGUCGGAUGUGAAAUCCCCGGGCUCAACCUGGGAACUGCAUUCGAAACUGGCAGGCUAGAGUCUUGUAGAGGGGGGUAGAAUUCCAGGUGUAGCGGUGAAAUGCGUAGAGAUCUGGAGGAAUACCGGUGGCGAAGGCGGCCCCCUGGACAAAGACUGACGCUCAGGUGCGAAAGCGUGGGGAGCAAACAGGAUUAGAUACCCCGGUAGUCCACGCCGUAAACGAUGUCGAUUUGGAGGUUGUGCCCUUGAGGCGUGGCUUCCGGAGCUAACGCGUUAAAUCGACCGCCUGGGGAGUACGUCCGCAAGGUUAAAACUCAAAUGAAUUGACGGGGGCCCGCACAAGCGGUGGAGCAUGUGGUUUAAUUCGAUGCAACGCGAAGAACCUUACCUGGUCUUGACAUCCACAGAACUUUCCAGAGAUGGAUUGGUGCCUUCGGGAACUGUGAGACAGGUGCUGCAUGGCUGUCGUCAGCUCGUGUUGUGAAAUGUUGGGUUAAGUCCCGCAACGAGCGCAACCCUUAUCCUUUGUUGCCAGCGGUCCGGCCGGGAACUCAAAGGAGACUGCCAGUGAUAAACUGGAGGAAGGUGGGGAUGACGUCAAGUCAUCAUGGCCCUUACGACCAGGGCUACACACGUGCUACAAUGGCAUAUACAAAGAGAAGCGACCUCGCGAGAGCAAGCGGACCUCAUAAAGUAUGUCGUAGUCCGGAUUGGAGUCUGCAACUCGACUCCAUGAAGUCGGAAUCGCUAGUAAUCGUAGAUCAGAAUGCUACGGUGAAUACGUUCCCGGGCCUUGUACACACCGCCCGUCACACCAUGGGAGUGGGUUGCAAAAGAAGUAGGUAGCUUAACCUUCGGGAGGGCGCUUACCACUUUGUGAUUCAUGACUGGGGUGAAGUCGUAACAAGGUAACCGUAGGGGAACCUGCGGUUGGAUCACCUCCUUA
This 1540-nucleotide ribosomal RNA is filed under the name Klebsiella pneumoniae. RNAcentral's name for it is "bacterial SSU rRNA". It matches the Rfam family "Bacterial small subunit ribosomal RNA". The record is from RNAcentral. Lineage: Bacteria; Pseudomonadati; Pseudomonadota; Gammaproteobacteria; Enterobacterales; Enterobacteriaceae.